UCUCUCUGAAUCUGCGAACGGCUCCGCAAACCAGUUGUAAACCACAGCAAGCUUGAUCUGGCGAGGCCCCUCGGGGUAGUAGCCAGAAUUAUAUGGAUACCCCUGGUAAUUCUGAGGCUAAUACUUGACACGGAACCUGCUGACUGGGCCUCGGUCCGGGAGGUAGGGGAUGUGCGACCAUCGGGCCAAAGAAACCGGAAAGAGCGCACGUUCAGACCACUUAAAAAGGCCACGGGGUCCCUCGGGAUCUCGGGGCUGUGGCUCUUGCAGCGUGCUUCUGACCUAUCAACUAGACGGCAGCCUAAGGGACAUGCUUUGGUGACAACGGGUACAGAGGAUAAGGGUUCGAUCCUGGAGAGUGGGCCUGAGAGAUU
Molecule: ribosomal RNA, 374 nt
Filed under: uncultured myxomycete
Lineage: Eukaryota; Evosea; Eumycetozoa
Description: SSU rRNA
Rfam family: Eukaryotic small subunit ribosomal RNA
Source: RNAcentral